This 409-nucleotide ribosomal RNA is filed under the name Actinomycetes bacterium. RNAcentral describes it as "Actinobacteria bacterium partial 16S ribosomal RNA". It matches the Rfam family "Bacterial small subunit ribosomal RNA", at positions 355 to 776 of the family's 1533-position model. The record is from RNAcentral. Lineage: Bacteria; Bacillati; Actinomycetota; Actinomycetes.
UGGGGAAUAUUGCACAAUGGGCGGAAGCCUGAUGCAGCGACGCCGCGUGGGGGAUGAAGGCCUUCGGGUUGUAAACUCCUUUCGACAGGGACGAAGCUUUUGUGACGGUACCUGUAUAAGAAGCACCGGCUAACUACGUGCCAGCAGCCGCGGUAAUACGUAGGGUGCGAGCGUUGUCCGGAAUUACUGGGCGUAAAGAGCUCGUAGGUGGUUUGUCGCGUCGUCUGUGAAAUUCCGGGGCUUAACUCCGGGCGUGCAGGCGAUACGGGCGGACUUGAGUGCUGUAGGGGAGACUGGAAUUCCUGGUGUAGCGGUGAAAUGCGCAGAUAUCAGGAGGAACACCGAUGGCGAAGGCAGGUCUCUGGGCAGUAACUGACGCUGAGGAGCGAAAGCAUGGGUAGCGAACAGG